This 46-nucleotide non-coding RNA is filed under the name Trichobilharzia regenti. The record is from RNAcentral. Lineage: Eukaryota; Metazoa; Platyhelminthes; Trematoda; Strigeidida; Schistosomatidae.
GUAUUGCUGAAGAGUCCUGGACUAAAACGAAACAGCUGUCCAGUAC